RNAcentral lists this ribosomal RNA (497 nucleotides) under uncultured bacterium. Its description in RNAcentral is "partial 16S ribosomal RNA". It matches the Rfam family "Bacterial small subunit ribosomal RNA", at positions 28 to 507 of the family's 1533-position model. The record is from RNAcentral.
GAUGAACGCUGGCGGCGUGCCUAAUACAUGCAAGUCGAGCGAACAGAUGCGGAGCUUGCUCCUCUGACGUUAGCGGCGGACGGGUGAGUCACACGUGGAUACCCUACCUAUAAGACUGGGAUCACUUCGGGAAACCGGAGCUAAUACCGGAUAAUAUAUUGAACCGCAUGGUUCAAUAGUGAAAGACGGUUUUGCUGUCACUUAUAGCUGCAUCCGGGCCGCAUUAGCUAGUUGGUAAGUUAAAGGCUUACCAAGGCAACGAUGCGUAGCCGACGUGAGAGAGUGAUCGCCCACACUGGAACUGAGACGCGGUCCAGGGUCCUACGGGAGGCAGCAGUAGGGAAUCGUACGCAAUGGGCGAAAGCAUGACGGAGCAACGCCGCGUGAGUGAUGAAGGUCUUCGGAGCGUAAAACUCUGUUAUUAGGGAAGAACAAAUGUGUAAGGAACUAUGCACGUCUUGACGGUAACUAAUCAGAAAGCCACGGCUAACUACGUG